UGGGGAAUUUUGCACAAUGGGGGAAACCCUGAUGCAGCGACGCCGCGUGAUUUAGAAGGCCUUCGGGUUGUAAAAAUCUUUUCUAUGGGAAGAAAAUGACAGUACCAUAGGAAUAAGGACCGGCUAAUUACGUGCCAGCAGCCGCGGUAAUACGUAAGGUCCGAGCGUUGUCCGGAAUCAUUGGGCGUAAAGGGUACGUAGGCGGGUAAGCAAGUUAGAAGUGAAAUCCUAUAGCUCAACUAUAGUAAGCUUUUAAAACUGCUAAUCUUGAGGUAUGGAAGGGAAAGUGGAAUUCCUAGUGUAGCGGUGAAAUGCGCAGAUAUUAGGAGGAAUACCGGUGGCGAAGGCGACUUUCUGGCCAUAACCUGACGCUGAGGUACGAAAGCGUGGGUAGCAAACAGG
This 402-nucleotide ribosomal RNA is filed under the name bacterium. Its description in RNAcentral is "partial 16S ribosomal RNA". It matches the Rfam family "Bacterial small subunit ribosomal RNA", at positions 355 to 776 of the family's 1533-position model. The record is from RNAcentral. RNAcentral also lists the same sequence under 1 other name.